Molecule: ribosomal RNA, 494 nt
Filed under: uncultured bacterium
Lineage: Bacteria
Description: partial 16S ribosomal RNA
Rfam family: Bacterial small subunit ribosomal RNA
Source: RNAcentral
GACGAACGCUGGCGGCGUGCUUAACACAUGCAAGUCGAACGGAAAGGCCUGCUUUCCCUUGUGGAUUGCGGGUACUCGAGUGGCGAACGGGUGAGUAACACGUGAGUUAUCUGCCCCCAACUUGGGUAUAAGCCUGGGAAACUGGGUCUAAUUCCCGAUAGGACUGCAGGGUGGUGCCUGUGGUGGAAAACGAUUUUCUAGUGGUUGGGGAUGAGCUCGCGGCCUAUCAGCUUGUUGGUGGGGUAAUGGCCUACCAAGGCGGCGACGGGUAGCCGGCCUGGGAGGGUGGACGGCCACAUUGGGACUGAGAUACGGCCCAGACUCCUACGGGCGGCAGCAGUGGGGAAGAUUGCACAAUGGGCGGAAGCCUGAUGCAGCGACGCCGCGUGGGGGAUGACGGCCUUCGGGUUGUAAACUCCUUUCGACCGCGAGGAAGCCACCUGGUUGGAAGGGUGGUGACGGUAGUGGUAGAAGAAGCACCGGCUAACUACGUG